AGCGAACGCUGGCGGCAGGCUUAACACAUGCAAGUCGAGCGGGCACCUUUCGGGGUGUCAGCGGCGGACGGGUGAGUAACGCGUGGGAACGUGCCCUCUGGUUCGGAAUAACUCAGGGAAACUUGAGCUAAUACCGGAUACGCCCUUUUGGGGAAAGGCUUGCUGCCGGAGGAUCGACCCGCGUCUGAUUAGCUAGUUGGUGAGGUAACGGCUCACCAAGGCGACGAUCAGUAGCUGGUCUGAGAGGAUGAUCAGCCACACUGGGACUGAGACACGGCCCAGACUCCUACGGGAGGCAGCAGUGGGGAAUAUUGGACAAUGGGCGCAAGCCUGAUCCAGCCAUGCCGCGUGAGUGAUGAAGGCCUUAGGGUUGUAAAGCUCUUUUAUCCGGGACGAUAAUGACGGUACCGGAGGAAUAAGCCCCGGCUAACUUCGUG
RNAcentral lists this ribosomal RNA (437 nucleotides) under uncultured bacterium. RNAcentral's name for it is "partial 16S ribosomal RNA". It matches the Rfam family "Bacterial small subunit ribosomal RNA", at positions 29 to 507 of the family's 1533-position model. The record is from RNAcentral.